RNAcentral lists this ribosomal RNA (253 nucleotides) under uncultured bacterium. RNAcentral's name for it is "partial 16S ribosomal RNA". It matches the Rfam family "Bacterial small subunit ribosomal RNA", at positions 524 to 776 of the family's 1533-position model. The record is from RNAcentral.
UACGUAGGGGGCAAGCGUUAUCCGGAUUUACUGGGUGUAAAGGGAGCGUAGACGGCAGGGCAAGUCUGGAGUGAAAGGCAGGGGCCCAACCCCUGGACUGCUCUGGAAACUGUCCGGCUGGAGUGCAGGAGAGGUAAGUGGAAUUCCUAGUGUAGCGGUGAAAUGCGUAGAUAUUAGGAGGAACACCAGUGGCGAAGGCGGCUUACUGGACUGUGACUGACGUUGAGGCUCGAAAGCGUAGGGAGCAAACAGG